This 299-nucleotide long non-coding RNA is filed under the name Elaeis guineensis (African oil palm). RNAcentral's name for it is "long non-coding RNA (EGUI_LNC034665)". The record is from RNAcentral. Lineage: Eukaryota; Viridiplantae; Streptophyta; Magnoliopsida; Arecales; Arecaceae.
UGGGGUUUAAGCUCAUAAGAUAUACAAGGUCUAUUUUCAUAUUCAUAUAUAUUCAUCUCAAUCUCAAGCAAUAGUAUAAAAGUAAAUUUCUAAUUCAUUUAUCCAAUAAAAAUGGUUCACGAGGUUUAAUGAGAAUAAAACAAUAUUUAUUUCAGAAACAUAAUAAAGAACAUGCAUCUAGGAUUCUAUGCUCCUCAAGCCUCAUAUAUUAUUCUUGAUUUAAAAAAUAAAAUAAAAUAUAGGAGUAGGCUUAUAGGUUCUAUAAAUUACUAGAACCUCUAAUUCAAUUAAGUAUUUUG